RNAcentral lists this ribosomal RNA (616 nucleotides) under Vishniacozyma carnescens. RNAcentral describes it as "eukaryotic LSU rRNA". It matches the Rfam family "Eukaryotic large subunit ribosomal RNA", at positions 48 to 656 of the family's 3401-position model. Lineage: Eukaryota; Fungi; Basidiomycota; Tremellomycetes; Tremellales; Bulleribasidiaceae. The record is from RNAcentral.
AAGCGGAGGAAAAGAAACUAACUAGGAUUCCUUAGUAACGGCGAGUGAACCGGGAUGAGCUCAAAUUUGAAAUCUGGCGUCUUUCAGGCGUCCGAGUUGUAAUCUAUAGAGGCGUUUUCCGCGCCGGACCGCGUCCAAGUCUCUUGGAAUAGAGUAUCAAAGAGGGUGACAAUCCCGUACUUGACGCGACAACCGGUGCUCUGUGAUACGUUCUCAAUGAGUCGAGUUGUUUGGGAAUGCAGCUCUAAAUGGGUGGUAAAUUCCAUCUAAGGCUAAAUAUUGGCGAGAGACCGAUAGCGAACAAGUACCGUGAGGGAAAGAUGAAAAGCACUUUGGAAAGAGAGUUAAACAGCACGUGAAAUUGUUAAAAGGGAAACGAUUGAAGUCAGUCGUGUGGGAAGUAUUCAGCCGUCUCUGGCGGUGUAUUUGCUUCUCACGGGUCAACAUCAGUUUGAUCCGGUAGAAAAAGGCGGGAAGAAGGUGGCACCCUCGGGUGUGUUAUAGCUUCCUGUCAUAUGUGCCGGACCAGACUGAGGAACGCAGCUUGCAGCAAUGCCGGGGUUCGCCCACGUACAAGCUUAGGAUGUUCACAUAAUGGCUUAAACGACCCGUCUUG